CGUGCAGGCAGAGGGUCAAGCCGUUUGUCCAUGGCUAUAGCAGGAGCAAGGGUGUUGAAUCCAGGAGCCGCUCAGCCCCUGCCUGGGAGGCUGUCUCUGUUCUGUUCAGUUGCCCACACGCCGUCAAAGCCAAGAGAGAGGCGGGGGAACUGGCUGCGAGCAUGUAUUCCACAAUGACAGAUUUCAACACAAGCAUGGACAGCAAGACCUCUCUCCAUGGAACCUUGGGAGCCCUGAGAACCCAGGAAUGACAUCCCUCUGCGUCCGUUGGGCGUACCCACUCCCCUGCGGAACCCUGCACAGCCUGCUCUGUCCGCAGUCAAAGCUGUUUGUGCCGGGUCUCCCCAACAGCCUGGUGAAACUGGAUUUAUAACACUCAUGGUGCAUCAGGGAAAAGAAGCCAACACCCGUGCCUUGGGACUCUGGGUGCUUGGCAGCCUGGGACCCGGCCUACGUCAGGUGGGGUCUCGGAGCCUGGAUGUCUUGGUUGGCUUCCGUCGCUGCUGCAUUCAUGACGCCCAGCACGAUACGGCCCUGGAUGCAUAAAUCAGUAAUACUGGUGCCUGCCCAGCCUGUGUGAUAGAUAGCCAGGAUAUAAUGAACACAG
Molecule: long non-coding RNA, 607 nt
Organism: Pteronotus mesoamericanus
Lineage: Eukaryota; Metazoa; Chordata; Mammalia; Chiroptera; Mormoopidae
Exons: 3
Source: RefSeq, a predicted model, not a curated record